Molecule: ribosomal RNA, 305 nt
Filed under: uncultured bacterium
Lineage: Bacteria
Description: bacterial SSU rRNA
Rfam family: Bacterial small subunit ribosomal RNA
Source: RNAcentral
ACCUACGGGGGGCAGCAGUAGGGAAUCUUCCACAAUGGGCGAAAGUCUGAUGGAGCAACGCCGCGUGGGUGAAGAAGGUCUUCGGAUCGUAAAACCCUGUUGUUAGAGAAGAAAGUGCGUGAGAGUAACUGUUCACGUUUCGACGGUAUCUAACCAGAAAGCCACGGCUAACUACGUGCCAGCAGCCGCGGUAAUACGUAGGUGGCAAGCGUUAUCCGGAUUUAUUGGGCGUAAAGGGAACGCAGGCGGUCUUUUAAGUCUGAUGUGAAAGCCUUCGGCUUAACCGGCGUAGUGCAUUGGAAACU